AUUGAACGCUGGCGGCAGGCCUAACACAUGCAAGUCGAGCGGAUGAAGGGAGCUUGCUCCUGGAUUCAGCGGCGGACGGGUGAGUAAUGCCUAGGAAUCUGCCUGGUAGUGGGGGAUAACGUCCGGAAACGGGCGCUAAUACCGCAUACGUCCUGAGGGAGAAAGGGGGGGAUCUUCGGACCUCACGCUGUCAGAUGAGCCUAGGUCGGAUUAGCUAGUUGGUGGGGUAAAGGCCUACCAAGGCGACGAUCCGUAACUGGUCUGAGAGGAUGAUCAGUCACACUGGAACUGAGACACGGUCCAGACUCCUACGGGAGGCAGCAGUGGGGAAUAUUGGACAAUGGGCGAAAGCCUGAUCCAGCCAUGCCGCGUGUGUGAAGAAGGUCUUCGGAUUGUAAAGCACUUUAAGUUGGGAGGAAGGGCAGUAAGUUAAUACCUUGCUGUUUUGACGUUACCAACAGAAUAAGCACCGGCUAACUUCGUG
This 484-nucleotide ribosomal RNA is filed under the name uncultured bacterium. RNAcentral describes it as "partial 16S ribosomal RNA". It matches the Rfam family "Bacterial small subunit ribosomal RNA", at positions 30 to 507 of the family's 1533-position model. The record is from RNAcentral.